CGUCAGAUGUGUAUAAGAGACAGAACCAUGGCCAGUGUGAAGCUUAGGUAACACUAAGUGGAGGCACGAACCGACUGAUGUUGAAAAAUCAGCGGAUGAGUUGUGGUUAGGGGUGAAAUGCCAAUCGAAUUCGGAGCUAGCUGGUUCUCCCCGAAAUGUGUUUAGGCGCAGCGGUUAGUGUUAUAGCAUAGGGGUAAAGCACUGUUUCGGUGCGGGCUGGUAAUUCGGUACCAAAUCGAGGCAAACUCUGAAUACUAUGUGUACAACUAACCAGUAAGACUACGAGGGAUAAGCUUCAUAGUCAAGAGGGAAACAGCCCAGAUCACCAGCUAAGGCCCCUAAAUAAUUGCUAAGUGAUAAAGGAGGUGGGAAUGCGUAGACAACCAGGAGGUUUGCUUAGAAGCAGCAAUCCUUUAAAAAGUGCGUAAUAGCUUACUGGUCUAGCAAUUCUGCGCCGAAAAUUUACGGGACUAAGCAAUUUGCCGAAGCUGUGAGAUAUACAUUAUGUAUAUCGGUAGGGGAGCGUUCCAUGUUAGGAUGAAGUAGUAGCGUAAGCGGCUAUGGACGAAAUGGAAGUGAGAAUGUCGGAUUGAGUAGCGAAAACAUUGGUGAGAAUCCAAUGCUCCGAAACCCUAAGGUUUCCUCCGCAAGGCUCGUCCACGGAGGGUGAGUCAGGUCCUAAGAUGAGGCUGAGAAGCGUAGUUGAUGGACAACAGGUUAAUAUUCCUGUACUGAUUAUUACUGGUAUCGAGGGACGAAGAAGGCUAAACUAGCCAGAUAUUGGUUACUGGUUUAAGUAUACGAGGUGUUGAAGAUUAGAGAAAAUGAUCUGAGCUAAGGUACGAAUACAAGAUUAAGAAAUCAAAGUAGUUGAUGUCAUACUUCCAAGAAAAGCUCGCAAUGCCAUAAGCAAUAAUCACCUGUACCCUAAACCGACACAGGUAGGGAGGUAGAGAAUACCAAGGAGCGCGGGAGAACCCUCCUUAAGGAACUCGGCAAAAUAACUCUGUAACUUCGGGAGAAAGAGUGCCCAUUGGGCUGCAAUAUCAAGUUCCAAGCAACUGUUUAGCAAAAACACAGGUCUCCGCUAAGUUGUAAAACGACGUAUGGGGGCUGACACCUGCCCAGUGCCAGAAGGUUAAAGAAGUUGGUCAAUCUUUGAUGAAGCUAACAACUGAAGCCCUGGUGAACGGCGGCAGUAACUAUAACUGUCCUAAGGUAGCGAAAUUCCUUGUCGGGUAAGUUCCGACCCGCACGAAAGGUGUAACGAUCUGGAUACUGUCUCAGAGAGAGACUCGGUGAAAUAAAACUAUCUGUGAAGAUGCGGAUUACCUGCACACGGACAGAAAGACCCUAUGAAGCUUUACUGUAACCUGGAAUUGCUUUCAAGCUUAUUUUGCGCAGCUUAGGUGGGAGGCUACGAACCUUUUCUUCCGGGAAGAGGGGAGCCAUCAGUGAGAUACCACUCUUGGUAAGCUAGAAAGCUCAGUCUUAACCGUUAUCCGGUAAGACGACAGUUUCAGGCGGGCAGUUUGACUGGGGCAGUCACCUCCCAAAAGGUAAUGGAGGUGCACAAAGGUUCCCUCAGGUUGGACGGAAAUCAACCAUAGAGUGUAAAAGCAUAAGAGAGCUUGACUGCGAGACGGACAUGUCAAGCAGAGACGAAAGUCGGUUUUAGUGAUCCGACGGUGCUGAGUGGAAAGGCCGUCGCUCAACGGAUAAAAGUUACUCUAGGGAUAACAGGCUGAUCUCCCCCAAGAGUUCACAUCGACGGGGAGGUUUGGCACCUCGAUGUCGGCUCAUCGCAUCCUGGAGCGGAAGUACGUUCCAAGGGUUGGGCUGUUCGCCCAUAGAAAGCGGUACGCGAGCUGGGUUCAGAACGUCGUGAGACAGUUUGGUCCAUAUCCUGUGUAGGCGUUUAGAGCAUUGAAAGGAUCUCCCCUUUGUACGAGAGGACCAGGUGGGGACAGACCUCUAGUGUACCAGUUAUUCCGCCAGGGGUAAACGCUGGGUAGCUAUGUCUGGAGUAAAUAACUGCUGAAAGCAUAUAAGUAGGAAGUUCACCUUAAGAUGAGUGCUCUUUUGUCAGCAAUGCCACUUUGGCAUGCAACUAAGACAAGCAAGGUCACGGCAAGACUAGCCGUUUGAUAGGCAUGAUGUAGAAGUACAGCAAUGUAUUCUGAAGCUGACAUGUCCUAAUAGACCGAGAGAUUUGAUUUU
RNAcentral lists this ribosomal RNA (2220 nucleotides) under seawater metagenome. RNAcentral's name for it is "bacterial LSU rRNA". It matches the Rfam family "Bacterial large subunit ribosomal RNA", at positions 707 to 2925 of the family's 2925-position model. The record is from RNAcentral.